RNAcentral lists this ribosomal RNA (523 nucleotides) under uncultured archaeon. Its description in RNAcentral is "bacterial SSU rRNA". It matches the Rfam family "Archaeal small subunit ribosomal RNA", at positions 472 to 997 of the family's 1478-position model. The record is from RNAcentral.
AACACCGGCAGCUCUAGUGGUAGCAAUUUUAUGGGCCUAAAGCGUCCGUAGCCGGUUUAAUAAGUCUCUGGUGAAAUCCUGUAGCUUAACUAUGGGAAUUGCUGGAGAUACUAUUAGACUUGAGACCGGGAGAGGUUAGAGGUACUCCCAGGGUAGAGGUGAAAUUCUGUAAUCCUGGGAGGACCGCCUGUUGCGAAGGCGUCUAACUGGAACGGUUCUGACGGUGAGGGACGAAAGUUAGGGGCGCGAACCGGAUUAGAUACCCGGGUAGUCCUAACUGUAAACGAUGCGGACUUGGUGUUGGGUGGCUUUGAGCUGCUCCAGUGCCGAAGGGAAGCUGUUAAGUCCGCCGCCUGGGAAGUACGGUCGCAAGACUGAAACUUAAGGAAUUGGCGGGGGAGCACCACAACGCGUGGAGCCUGCCGGUUUAAUUGGAUUCAACGCCGGACAUCUCACCAGAGGCGACAGCUGUAUGAUAGCCAGGUUGAUGACUUUGCUUGACUAGCUGAGAGGUGGUGCAUGG